RNAcentral lists this ribosomal RNA (903 nucleotides) under Triticum aestivum (bread wheat). Its description in RNAcentral is "partial small subunit ribosomal RNA". Lineage: Eukaryota; Viridiplantae; Streptophyta; Magnoliopsida; Poales; Poaceae. The record is from RNAcentral.
AUGGGGGCCAACCUUGGGCAAGAUGCCAGAGAGCGCAAGAAAGCGCUGCUUUCCGCGAUUCAAGCUCUUGACCUACGGGCUGACUCGGUGGGUUUGUCUCCGGAUGAGUGGCUCUCCCGUUAUGCCCUCGAAGACCAACUCUCCGUGAUCCACUCUGAUGAGGAGGCCUAUUGGCGCAUUCGGGGCGCCCAGAAGUGGGUCCUGAAGGGUGAUGCGAAUACCGCUUACUUCCAGGCGAUCGCCAACGGUCGCCGUAGGCGCAACACCAUCCCCCUCCUUUGGGAUGGGGACACUCUUCUUCCGGACCCUCGCGACAUCCGGUCUCAUGUCGAUGGCUUCUAUCGGUCCCUUUUCUCCGCCGCUCCUCGGAGCGGCGUUUCCCUCGCCCAGGAUUGUUGGGCCGGUAUUCAGCUAGUCUCCAGGGCGGAAAAUGCCGCCCUGACGGCUCCCUUCUCCGAGCAGGAGGUCUGGGAGGCUAUCAAGGGGAUGAAUUCCUCUUCAGCUCCUGGUCCUGAUGGCCUCCCUGUUAUUUUCUUCCAGACCUUCUGGAACGUGAUUAAACCCGAGGUCAUGGCCAUCUUUGAGGAAUUCUUUGUGGGUGCCAUCGACCUAGGUCGCCUCAACUAUGGGAUCAUCUCCCUCAUCCCCAAGAUCCCUGGGGCGUCCGACAUCCGCCAGUUCCGGCCGAUCACGGUCAUUAAUGUGGUCUUCCGGAUCUUGGCCAAAGGGUACGCCAAUAGGGUGACCCUGCUGGCUAACCGGAUUACGCAUCCUAACCAGUCGGCCUUCAUUAGAGGACGAUAUAUCCUGGAUGGUGUUUUGGUCCUCCAUGAGGUCCUUCACGAGGUCCGGUCCAAACACCUCAAGGCGGUUUUCUUGAAGAUCGAUUUUCACAAAGCCUAU